AGUGAACGCUGGCGGUAGGCCUAACACAUGCAAGUCGAACGGCAGCACAGUAAGAGCUUGCUCUUACGGGUGGCGAGUGGCGGACGGGUGAGGAAUACAUCGGAAUCUACUUUUUCGUGGGGGAUAACGUAGGGAAACUUACGCUAAUACCGCAUACGACCUACGGGUGAAAGCACGGGAUCUUCGGACCUUGCGCGAUUGAAUGAGCCGAUGUCGGAUUAGCUAGUUGGCGGGGUAAAGGCCCACCAAGGCGACGAUCCGUGGCUGGUCUGAGAGGAUGAUCAGCCACACUGGAACUGAGACACGGCCCAGACUCCUACGGGAGGCAGCAGUGGGGAAUAUUGGACAAUGGGCGCAAGCCUGAUCCAGCCAUACCGCGUGGGUGAAGAAGGCCUUCGGGUUGUAAAGCCCUUUUGUUGGGAAAGAAAAGCAGCAGGUUAAUACCCCGCUGUUCUGACGGUACCCAAAGAAUAAGCACCGGCUAACUUCGUG
Molecule: ribosomal RNA, 492 nt
Filed under: uncultured bacterium
Lineage: Bacteria
Description: partial 16S ribosomal RNA
Rfam family: Bacterial small subunit ribosomal RNA
Source: RNAcentral